RNAcentral lists this long non-coding RNA (658 nucleotides) under Homo sapiens (human). RNAcentral describes it as "HSALNT0094553". The record is from RNAcentral. Lineage: Eukaryota; Metazoa; Chordata; Mammalia; Primates; Hominidae.
AGGACCUGGGUGGAGAGCCACACCGAGACAUCUCAUGCCACUCACAGCAGAGUCUCAGAAUAUCAUGAUGAGAAGGGGACUGAGAAAACAGAGCAUCAUUAAAGAAACUGAUUUGGGGCUUGAAAAACACUGAGGUAUGAACACUGUCUGUUAGAGCUGGAAGGACUCCUCAUCGUCAGACCUCGCUCCCGGGGCAGAAAUUCCUCCGCCUCUUCCCCAACAGCCUCGGCUGCUGCUUGUCCACUCCCAGGGACGGGAAGCCCACUUCAUCACCGGGAGGCCCAUUGCAAAGGCAGCCCCAGCUGUUGGAAGGCUCACCAUUUUAUGGUGGAAACUGCUUCCAGGAGAGAGGAAUUGAAAUCCAUGACACUGACAAGCAGGGCAUUUGAAAUUGGCCUCCCUGUCACCCACCCACAGGCCGAACAUGUGCCUGCUGGGGCUGCCAAACACACCUCAUCAAACUUCCAGGUAAAGGGCCAUCAGCUUUGGAGACAGUUUUCAUGUUUCUCCCGCCAGGGAGAUAAUGCUUCAUGCUGAGAUUUGAGGACUGGCAGGGGAAUUAUCUAUCUAUGUAUCUAUGUAUCUAUGUAUCUAUGUAUGUAUGUAUGUAUGUAUGUAUCUAUCUAUCUAUCUAUUUUUUAAAAUUUAUUGUCCUGUG